UCCGGUUUGGCACCGGCAGUCUCUCAUGAGUCCCCGACAUGACUCGCUGGCAACAUCGGACAGGGGUUGCGCUCGUUGCGCCACUUAAGGCAACACCUCACGGCACGAGCUGACGACAGCCAUGCAGCACCUGUGCGGGCUCCCGAAGGAGGACCGUGUUUCCACGGCUUCACCCCGCAUGUCAAGCCCUGGUAAGGUUCUUCGCGUUGCGUCGAAUUAAACCACAUGCUCCGCUGCUUGUGCGGGCCCCUGUCAAUUCCUUUGAGUUUUAGCCUUGCGGCCGUACUCCCCAGGCGGGGAACUUAAUGCGUUAGCUUCGGCACGGAAUCCGUGGAAGAACCCCACACCUAGCGCCCAACGUUUACGGCGUGGACUAC
RNAcentral lists this unclassified non-coding RNA (377 nucleotides) under uncultured Actinomycetes bacterium. RNAcentral's name for it is "uncultured actinobacterium contains 16S-23S intergenic spacer region". Lineage: Bacteria; Bacillati; Actinomycetota; Actinomycetes. The record is from RNAcentral.